GGGUUGUGAGGUUAAGCGACUAAGCGUACACGGUGGAUGCCCUGGCAGUCAGAGGCGAUGAAGGACGUGCUAAUCUGCGAUAAGCGUCGGUAAGGUGAUAUGAACCGUUAUAACCGGCGAUUUCCGAAUGGGGAAACCCAGUGUGAUUCGUCACACUAUCAUUAACUGAAUCCAUAGGUUAAUGAGGCGAACCGGGGGAACUGAAACAUCUAAGUACCCCGAGGAAAAGAAAUCAACCGAGAUUCCCCCAGUAGCGGCGAGCGAACGGGGAGCAGCCCAGAGCCUGAAUCAGUGUGUGUGUUAGUGGAAGCGUCUGGAAAGGCGUGCGAUACAGGGUGACAGCCCCGUACACAAAAAUGCACAUAUUGUGAGCUCGAUGAGUAGGGCGGGACACGUGGUAUCCUGUCUGAAUAUGGGGGGACCAUCCUCCAAGGCUAAAUACUCCUGACUGACCGAUAGUGAACCAGUACCGUGAGGGAAAGGCGAAAAGAACCCCGGCGAGGGGAGUGAAAAAGAACCUGAAACCGUGUACGUACAAGCAGUGGGAGCACGCUUAGGCGUGUGACUGCGUACCUUUUGUAUAAUGGGUCAGCGACUUAUAUUCUGUAGCAAGGUUAACCGAAUAGGGGAGCCGAAGGGAAACCGAGUCUUAACUGGGCGUUAAGUUGCAGGGUAUAGACCCGAAACCCGGUGAUCUAGCCAUGGGCAGGUUGAAGGUUGGGUAACACUAACUGGAGGACCGAACCGACUAAUGUUGAAAAAUUAGCGGAUGACUUGUGGCUGGGGGUGAAAGGCCAAUCAAACCGGGAGAUAGCUGGUUCUCCCCGAAAGCUAUUUAGGUAGCGCCUCGUGAAUUCAUCUCCGGGGGUAGAGCACUGUUUCGGCAAGGGGGUCAUCCCGACUUACCAACCCGAUGCAAACUGCGAAUACCGGAGAAUGUUAUCACGGGAGACACACGGCGGGUGCUAACGUCCGUCGUGAAGAGGGAAACAACCCAGACCGCCAGCUAAGGUCCCAAAGUCAUGGUUAAGUGGGAAACGAUGUGGGAAGGCCCAGACAGCCAGGAUGUUGGCUUAGAAGCAGCCAUCAUUUAAAGAAAGCGUAAUAGCUCACUGGUCGAGUCGGCCUGCGCGGAAGAUGUAACGGGGCUAAACCAUGCACCGAAGCUGCGGCAGCGACGCUGAUGCGUUGUUGGGUAGGGGAGCGUUCUGUAAGCCUGCGAAGGUGUGCUGUGAGGCAUGCUGGAGGUAUCAGAAGUGCGAAUGCUGACAUAAGUAACGAUAAAGCGGGUGAAAAGCCCGCUCGCCGGAAGACCAAGGGUUCCUGUCCAACGUUAAUCGGGGCAGGGUGAGUCGACCCCUAAGGCGAGGCCGAAAGGCGUAGUCGAUGGGAAACAGGUUAAUAUUCCUGUACUUGGUGUUACUGCGAAGGGGGGACGGAGAAGGCUAUGUUGGCCGGGCGACGGUUGUCCCGGUUUAAGCGUGUAGGCUGGUUUUCCAGGCAAAUCCGGAAAAUCAAGGCUGAGGCGUGAUGACGAGGCACUACGGUGCUGAAGCAACAAAUGCCCUGCUUCCAGGAAAAGCCUCUAAGCAUCAGGUAACAUCAAAUCGUACCCCAAACCGACACAGGUGGUCAGGUAGAGAAUACCAAGGCGCUUGAGAGAACUCGGGUGAAGGAACUAGGCAAAAUGGUGCCGUAACUUCGGGAGAAGGCACGCUGAUAUGUAGGUGAAGUCCCUCGCGGAUGGAGCUGAAAUCAGUCGAAGAUACCAGCUGGCUGCAACUGUUUAUUAAAAACACAGCACUGUGCAAACACGAAAGUGGACGUAUACGGUGUGACGCCUGCCCGGUGCCGGAAGGUUAAUUGAUGGGGUUAGCGCAAGCGAAGCUCUUGAUCGAAGCCCCGGUAAACGGCGGCCGUAACUAUAACGGUCCUAAGGUAGCGAAAUUCCUUGUCGGGUAAGUUCCGACCUGCACGAAUGGCGUAAUGAUGGCCAGGCUGUCUCCACCCGAGACUCAGUGAAAUUGAACUCGCUGUGAAGAUGCAGUGUACCCGCGGCAAGACGGAAAGACCCCGUGAACCUUUACUAUAGCUUGACACUGAACAUUGAGCCUUGAUGUGUAGGAUAGGUGGGAGGCUUUGAAGUGUGGACGCCAGUCUGCAUGGAGCCGACCUUGAAAUACCACCCUUUAAUGUUUGAUGUUCUAACGUUGACCCGUGAUCCGGGUUGCGGACAGUGUCUGGUGGGUAGUUUGACUGGGGCGGUCUCCUCCUAAAGAGUAACGGAGGAGCACGAAGGUUGGCUAAUCCUGGUCGGACAUCAGGAGGUUAGUGCAAUGGCAUAAGCCAGCUUGACUGCGAGCGUGACGGCGCGAGCAGGUGCGAAAGCAGGUCAUAGUGAUCCGGUGGUUCUGAAUGGAAGGGCCAUCGCUCAACGGAUAAAAGGUACUCCGGGGAUAACAGGCUGAUACCGCCCAAGAGUUCAUAUCGACGGCGGUGUUUGGCACCUCGAUGUCGGCUCAUCACAUCCUGGGGCUGAAGUAGGUCCCAAGGGUAUGGCUGUUCGCCAUUUAAAGUGGUACGCGAGCUGGGUUUAGAACGUCGUGAGACAGUUCGGUCCCUAUCUGCCGUGGGCGCUGGAGAACUGAGGGGGGCUGCUCCUAGUACGAGAGGACCGGAGUGGACGCAUCACUGGUGUUCGGGUUGUCAUGCCAAUGGCACUGCCCGGUAGCUAAAUGCGGAAGAGAUAAGUGCUGAAAGCAUCUAAGCACGAAACUUGCCCCGAGAUGAGUUCUCCCUGACUCCUUGAGAGUCCUGAAGGAACGUUGAAGACGACGACGUUGAUAGGCCGGGUGUGUAAGCGCAGCGAUGCGUUGAGCUAACCGGUACUAAUGAACCGUGAGGCUUAACCUUACAACGCCGAAGCUGUU
RNAcentral lists this ribosomal RNA (2930 nucleotides) under Escherichia coli. RNAcentral describes it as "bacterial LSU rRNA". It matches the Rfam family "Bacterial large subunit ribosomal RNA". Lineage: Bacteria; Pseudomonadati; Pseudomonadota; Gammaproteobacteria; Enterobacterales; Enterobacteriaceae. The record is from RNAcentral.